Molecule: ribosomal RNA, 685 nt
Filed under: Pseudomonas sp. RH.Sph.071
Lineage: Bacteria; Pseudomonadati; Pseudomonadota; Gammaproteobacteria; Pseudomonadales; Pseudomonadaceae
Description: bacterial SSU rRNA
Rfam family: Bacterial small subunit ribosomal RNA
Source: RNAcentral
CCGCUGGCGGCAGGCCUAACACAUGCAAGUCGAGCGGAUGAGGGGAGCUUGCUCCCUGAUUUAGCGGCGGACGGGUGAGUAAUGCCUAGGAAUCUGCCUGGUAGUGGGGGAUAACGUCCGGAAACGGGCGCUAAUACCGCAUACGUCCUACGGGAGAAAGCAGGGGACCUUCGGGCCUUGCGCUAUCAGAUGAGCCUAGGUCGGAUUAGCUUGUUGGUGAGGUAAAGGCUCACCAAGGCUGCGAUCCGUAACUGGUCUGAGAGGAUGAUCAGUCACACUGGAACUGAGACACGGUCCAGACUCCUACGGGAGGCAGCAGUGGGGAAUAUUGGACAAUGGGCGAAAGCCUGAUCCAGCCAUGCCGCGUGUGUGAAGAAGGUCUUCGGAUUGUAAAGCACUUUAAGUUGGGAGGAAGGGCAGUAAGUUAAUACCUUGCUGUUUUGACGUUACCGACAGAAUAAGCACCGGCUAACUUCGUGCCAGCAGCCGCGGUAAUACGAAGGGUGCAAGCGUUAAUCGGAAUUACUGGGCGUAAAGCGCGCGUAGGUGGUUUGUUAAGUUGGAAGUGAAAGCCCCGGGCUCAACCUGGGAACUGCUUUCAAACUGGCAAGCUAGAGUAUGGCAGAGGGUGGUGGAAUUUCCUGUGUAGCGGUGAAAUGCGUAGAUAUAGGAAGAACACCAGUGG